Molecule: ribosomal RNA, 253 nt
Filed under: uncultured bacterium
Lineage: Bacteria
Description: partial 16S ribosomal RNA
Rfam family: Bacterial small subunit ribosomal RNA
Source: RNAcentral
UACGUAGGGUGCGAGCGUUAAUCGGAAUUACUGGGCGUAAAGCGUGCGCAGGCGGUUCGUUGUGUCGGUGGUGAAAUCCCCGGGCUUAACCUGGGAAUGGCAUUUGGGACUGCAAGGCUCGAGUGCGGCAGAGGAGACUGGAAUUCCUGGUGUAGCAGUGAAAUGCGUAGAUAUCAGGAGGAACACCGAUGGCGAAGGCAGGUCUCUGGGCUGACACUGACGCUCAUGCACGAAAGCGUGGGGAGCAAACAGG